This is a long non-coding RNA of Macaca fascicularis (crab-eating macaque), 1605 nucleotides long. The record is from Ensembl. NCBI's taxonomy places the organism in Eukaryota, Metazoa, Chordata, Mammalia, Primates, Cercopithecidae.
UUUUUUUUUUUUUUGAGACAAGAUCUCACUCUGUCACCCAGACUGGAGUACAGUGGUGAGAUCACAGCUCACUGCAGCCUUGACUUCCCAAGCUCAAGUGAUCCUCCCAUCUCAGCCUCCCAAGUAGCUGGGACUUCAGGUGCAUGCCACCACGUCCAGCUAAUUGUUUCUAUUUUUUAUAGAGACAGGGUCUCACUAUACUGCCCAGGCUGGUCUUGAACUCCUGGCCUCAAAUGAUUUUCCCACCUCAGCCUCCUAAAGCACUGGAAUUAUAGGCUUGAGCCACUGCGCUCCACCUGGACUUUGCAUUUAACAAGUAAGUUUAUGCCGUCAUGUAGAGAUAUGAUUUUAAAUGUAUUUGAUUCAAUAACAUAUAUACAUAGGUCAAUAUUCCCUGGAUGAUCCCCUAGGUCCCUUUUCCUAGAGGCAACUACUACUACCAACCUGAUAAAUGAUUACGUCAUUCAUGGGAUUCACUCAUGCUUACUGGAUCAGAAUCUUCAGGCUGCAAAUAUUUUCUCCAGCCCUUCCCACAUGUUCAACUAUCACAAAGACUUGUGUAAUGAAUACAAGAUACAAAAUCAGAAGAUUGUUUACCAGUUUUAAUUCAAAUUCUUACCAGGCUAUUCCCCAGCCCUUUCAGGCCCUAGAAAGGCCUAUGCCAUUUGCUGCAGUUGGACAAGUUUCUAGACAAACUAGAAAAUCUGGAUUUCAGGACAAGCUCAACGUCUAGACAGACAACACCCUGGCAGUGGUUUCAGAGAUUAAGAGAUGUACUCCCCUCCGAUAUCACCCACAUGGGCUUUCUAUGACAGGCACAACUCCAUCUCCUUUGCUCUAAGGCAGUGUGGUUUCAUAUGGGGUCAUUCAAAGAACACGGGCUAAACAGCCUGGAUUCAAACCCCAGGUUUACUUCUUGAAAACUGUGUGACCUAGGACAUCUUGCUUAACUUCUCUGAGCUCUUUUCUCUAGUAUAAAAUCGAAGAAUACCUACCUCCUAGUGUUGUUGUGAAGAUUAAAUGUAAUGAUAUACGUGAAUGGCUCUCAACAAGUAGUCAUCUCAUGGUUAAAUGACUUUGGAUUUAUGUAAAAUUCAGAUGACCUCCCCCGGGGGUGUCUUCCAUGACCGACCACACCCGACUCUGUGGCAUCAGCAUCUGCAUGUCCCCGAGGAGUCUCUCUCUUUCUGUCUGGAGUCAGCCCCUCUGCAGUUGAUCUCCAUUGCAACCCUCCUCCUGCUCCUCCAGGAUCUGCUUUCAUCGUUAGUUUUUUCUCUCUUCUAUCUUGAAUCUCUCUUUGUCCAUUGACUCUCUCUUCUCUCACAGGUUUGCUCAAGUCUUUUUUUUUAAGGCAGACUCACUCGGCCACCCAGGCUGGAGUGCAGUGGUGCCAUCAUGGCUCACUGCAACCUCAAACUCCCAGGCUCCAGCAAUCCUCCCACCUCCUGAGUAGCUUGAACCAGAGACAUGCACCAGCAUGUCUGACUAAUUUUUUAUUUUCUGUAGAGAUGGGGGUCUUGCUAUAUUGCCCAGACUGGUCUUGAACUCCUGGGCUCAAACAAUCUGCUCACCUUGGCCUCCCAGAGUACUGGGAUUACAGGCAUG